RNAcentral lists this ribosomal RNA (468 nucleotides) under uncultured bacterium. Its description in RNAcentral is "partial 16S ribosomal RNA". It matches the Rfam family "Bacterial small subunit ribosomal RNA", at positions 28 to 507 of the family's 1533-position model. The record is from RNAcentral.
GACGAACGCUGGCGGCGUGCUUAACACAUGCAAGUCGAACGGAAAGGCCCUGCUUUUGUGGGGUGCUCGAGUGGCGAACGGGUGAGUAACACGUGAGUAACCUGCCCUUGACUUUGGGAUAACUUCAGGAAACUGGGGCUAAUAUCGGAUAGGAGCUCCUGCUGCAUGGUGGGGGUUGGAAAGUUUCGGCGGUCGGGGAUGGACUCGCGGCUUACCAGGUUGUUGGUGGGGUAGUGGCUUACCAAGGCUUUGACGGGUAGCCGGCCUGAGAGGGUGGCCGGCGUCAUGGCGACUGAGGUACGUCCCAGACUCCUAGGGGAGGCAGAAGUGGGUAGUUUUGCACAAUGGGCGGAAGUCUGUUGCGGCAACGCCGCGGGCGGGAAGACCGCUUUCGGGUUGUAAACCGCUUUCGCCUGUGACGAAGCGUGAGUGACGGUAAUGGGUGAAGAAGCACCGGCUAACUACGUG